UAGGGAAUCUUCCACAAUGGACGCAAGUCUGAUGGAGCAACGCCACGUGAGUGAAGAAGGUUUUCGGACCGUAAAGCUCUGUUGUUGGUGAAGAAGGAUAGAGGUAGUAACUGGCCUUUAUUUGACGGUAAUCAACCAGAAAGUCACGGCUAACUACGUGCCAGCAGCCGCGGUAAUACGUAGGCGGCAAGCGUUGUCCGGAUUUAUUGGGCGUAAAGCGAGCGCAGGCGGAAGAAUAAGUCUGAUGUGAAAGCCCUCGGCUUAACCGAGGAAUUGCAUCGGAAACUGUUUUUCUUGAGUGCAGAAGAGGAGAGUAGAACUCCAUGUGUAGCGGUGGAAUGCGUAGAUAUAUGGAAGAAUACCAGUGGCGAAGGCGGCUCUCUGGUCUGCAACUGACGCUGAGGCUCGAAAGCAUGGGUAGCGAACAGGAUUAGAUACCCUGGUAGUCCAUGCCGUAAACGAUGAGUGCUAAGUGUUGGGAGGCUUCCGCCUCUCAGUGCUGCAGCUAACGCAUUAAGCACUCCGCCUGGGGGAGUACGACCGCAAGGUUGAAACUCAAAGUGAAUUGAC
RNAcentral lists this ribosomal RNA (570 nucleotides) under uncultured bacterium. RNAcentral describes it as "partial 16S ribosomal RNA". It matches the Rfam family "Bacterial small subunit ribosomal RNA", at positions 355 to 914 of the family's 1533-position model. The record is from RNAcentral.